AAUAGAUGGAGGAUGAAAUUGAAAAUAAUUUUGAGAGAAAAUGAUGAAAAUUUAGGUUCUAGGGAUGUUUUUGAAAGAAAAAUCAGAAACUAGAGGUCAAAAUACAAUUUAAGAAAAAUAUGCCAUGUAGGACGCCCAGUCAGCAGCCCGACGAAGAAGAGCGCACCGCGUGGUAAGGCACGCUGACGCGGUGCCACGCGAGAGGCCACGUUGGAGAUCCGUGUGCCCGCGAUCGGACAGUCCAGAUUUGUUCCCGCACGCGUGAAAAAACCAGAUCCGUUCUCUCCUCAGACGCGAUUGGACGGUCACAAUUAAACGCGAUGAAUGGCCCAGAUCCACUCCUAUUUAAAUGCAAUUAGACAGUCCAUAUCAAACGCAAUAAACGGCUUAGGUUAAAAAGAGACAGAUAUAAAUACCCCUCUUCACACCAAACCUUAAUU
This 440-nucleotide long non-coding RNA is filed under the name Carica papaya (papaya). RNAcentral describes it as "long non-coding RNA (CPAP_LNC011294)". Lineage: Eukaryota; Viridiplantae; Streptophyta; Magnoliopsida; Brassicales; Caricaceae. The record is from RNAcentral.